RNAcentral lists this ribosomal RNA (443 nucleotides) under uncultured bacterium. RNAcentral's name for it is "bacterial SSU rRNA". It matches the Rfam family "Bacterial small subunit ribosomal RNA", at positions 28 to 467 of the family's 1533-position model. The record is from RNAcentral.
GACGAACGCUGGCGGCGUGCUUAAUACAUGCAAGUCAACGACUUUUAGAGUAGCAAUAUUUUAAAGGAAGUGGCGCACGGGUGAGUAACACGUAGGUAAUCUGCCUUCAGGACUGACGCAACUCGUCGAAAGACGGGCUAAUAUCAGAUAAUGCAGCGGCUCCGCAUGGAGACAGUUGUUAAAGUACAAGCGCCUGAAGAUGAGCCUGCGGUCCAUUAGCUAGUUGGUAGAGUAACAGCCUACCAAGGCAACGAUGGAUAGCUGGUCUGAGAGGAUGAUCAGCCACACUGGAACUGAGACACGGUCCAGACUCCUACGGGAGGCAGCAGUAAGGAAUAUUGCUCAAUGGCCGAAAGGCUGAAGCAGCAACGCCGCGUGAAGGAUGAAUGGCCUUUGGCCUGUAAACUUCUGUAAAAAGGGAAAACAGUACAGGUAUAUCCUGA